AAAAGUGUGAUCUGAAUUAUUAGAGAGCAGAACCGUGAGAGAGAAGAGGGAGGAAGAAGAAGAAGAGAAAAGAAGGGAAAAUAAGGGAAAAAGGAAGAGAUUUGGAGGAAAUAAGUGAAAAAGGUAAGAUUUAGGUUGUUUAAUGUGUAUAAUAUGUUAAUUAAGCUUUAAUUUCAGUUUUUAUGAAUGUUAGGGUUUUGAGAAUUUGUGUUUGAUUUAAAUUGAUGAAUUAA
This 233-nucleotide long non-coding RNA is filed under the name Populus tremula. Its description in RNAcentral is "long non-coding RNA (PTRE_LNC001535)". Lineage: Eukaryota; Viridiplantae; Streptophyta; Magnoliopsida; Malpighiales; Salicaceae. The record is from RNAcentral.